AUUUUAACUAAGACACACAAGUCUAAGUAAUUAUAUAUCUAAUUGACCCAAAAAUUCUUUGA
Molecule: ribosomal RNA, 62 nt
Filed under: Neotoma lepida (desert woodrat)
Lineage: Eukaryota; Metazoa; Chordata; Mammalia; Rodentia; Cricetidae
Description: partial 16S ribosomal RNA
Source: RNAcentral